RNAcentral lists this long non-coding RNA (455 nucleotides) under Homo sapiens (human). RNAcentral describes it as "non-protein coding lnc-MTRNR2L13-2:1". Lineage: Eukaryota; Metazoa; Chordata; Mammalia; Primates; Hominidae. The record is from RNAcentral.
GGAAUAGCAGGCUUCAGUGUGAUUUUGGUUUUGCUUUCCUGCUUGUUAGGGAGCCUUAGGGACAACAGUGGAAGCUGCUAUGGCCCUUAAUACCUCAAACUAGUGGCAUGGCCUUAGCCAAUUUCCUGGUCCCAUUUCUAGGUACUGAGAAUAAGUCAUUUUCCCCCGUCCUUCAUAUUUACUGGUAGUCUUAGGGAUGGAGAAAACUUAGUUAAAGCCUUAGCAACUUUUUAUUUUCUGGUGGCAAGGAUUACUGCGCAUUCCCACCCUGACUGAUGAGUCCAAGGAUCUUCACAGACGAAGGAAGCGCCACAUUCAAAUCUUUGUCCAGAGGCUUUUUAUAUUUAAAGUCUAAUCUAAAAAUAAGAAUGUGCAACACUGGGCCUCUGUUCUGUCUCCUUCAGGAUCUGUCUCAGCAGGGAAAUGGAUUAGUGAUAUUCAUAUAGAAUGCAGAA